This 230-nucleotide unclassified non-coding RNA is filed under the name plant metagenome. Its description in RNAcentral is "partial contains small subunit ribosomal RNA, internal transcribed spacer 1, and 5.8S ribosomal RNA". The record is from RNAcentral.
UCUCCGUAGGUGAACCUGCGGAGGGAUCAUUACAGAGUUCAUGCCCUCCGGGUAGAUCUCCCACCCAUUGCUAUAACUACUCUCGUUGCUUUGGCGGGCCGCUGGGCCCUGCCCGGUCGCCGGCCCCGGCUGGCGCGUGCCCGCCAGAGACCUCACAAACUCUGAAUGUUAGUGUCGUCCGAGUAACUAUACAAUCGUUAAAACUUUCAACAACGGAUCUCUUGGUUCUG